UGGGGAAUUUUGGACAAUGGGCGCAAGCCUGAUCCAGCCAUACCGCGUGAGUGAAGAAGGCCUUCGGGUUGUAAAGCUCUUUCAGACGGAAAGAAACGGUUACGGCUAAUACCCGUGACUAAUGACGGUACCGUAAGAAGAAGCACCGGCUAACUACGUGCCAGCAGCCGCGGUAAUACGUAGGGUGCGAGCGUUAAUCGGAAUUACUGGGCGUAAAGCGUGCGCAGGCGGUUUGGUAAGACAGAUGUGAAAUCCCCGGGCUUAACCUGGGAACUGCAUUUGUGACUGCCAGACUAGAGUGUAGCAGAGGGGGGUAGAAUUCCACGUGUAGCAGUGAAAUGCGUAGAUAUGUGGAGGAAUACCGAUGGCGAAGGCAGCCCCCUGGGCUAACACUGACGCUCAUGCACGAAAGCGUGGGGAGCAAACAGGAUU
This 432-nucleotide ribosomal RNA is filed under the name uncultured bacterium. RNAcentral's name for it is "bacterial SSU rRNA". It matches the Rfam family "Bacterial small subunit ribosomal RNA", at positions 355 to 779 of the family's 1533-position model. The record is from RNAcentral.